UACGGGGGGAGCAAGCGUUGUUCGGAUUUACUGGGCGUAAAGGGCGCGUAGGCGGCGCAACAAGUCACUUGUGAAAUCUCCGGGCUUAACCCGGAGCGGCCAAGUGAUACUGUCGUGCUAGAGUGCGGAAGGGGCAACUGGAAUUCUCGGUGUAGCGGUGAAAUGCGUAGAUAUCGAGAGGAACACCUGCGGCGAAGGCGGGUUGCUGGGCCGGUACUGACACUGAGGAGCGAAAGCGUGGGUAGCAAACAGG
Molecule: ribosomal RNA, 253 nt
Filed under: uncultured bacterium
Lineage: Bacteria
Description: partial 16S ribosomal RNA
Rfam family: Bacterial small subunit ribosomal RNA
Source: RNAcentral